Molecule: ribosomal RNA, 200 nt
Filed under: uncultured bacterium
Lineage: Bacteria
Description: partial 16S ribosomal RNA
Rfam family: Bacterial small subunit ribosomal RNA
Source: RNAcentral
AGAGUUUGAUCCUGGCUCAGAUUGAACGCUGGCGGCGUGCCUAAUACAUGCAAGUCGAGCGGGUGUAGCAAUACACCAGCGGCAGACGGGAGAGUAACACGUGGGAACGUGCCCUUCAGUUCGGAACAACCCAGGGAAACUUGGGCUAAUACCGGAUACGUCCGUAAGGAGAAAGAUUUAUCGCUGAAGGAUCGGCCCGC